AUUCCAGCUCCAAUAGCGUAUAUUAAAGUUGUUGCGGUUAAAAAGCUCGUAGUUGGAGUUCUGCCAGGUGCCACCUGUCCGCCCCAGUGGUGAGUACGUGGUGCGCAUUUGGCCCUUUCAAGGGGAGCGUAUUUGCACUUAAUUGUGUGGUGCGGGAUCCUUGACUUUUACUUUGAGGAAAUAAGAGUGUUCCAAGCAGGCUCUCGUCGUGCAUAGCUCAGCAUGGAAUAAUAGCAUUGGAUCUCGAUUCCAAACUGUUGGUUGUAGGAAACGAGAUAAUGAUGAAGAGGGAUAGUUGGGGGCAUUCGUAUUUAACUGUCAGAGGUGAAAUUCUUGGAUUGGUUAAAGACGAACUACUGCGAAAGCAUCUGCCAUGGAUGUUUUCAUUA
Molecule: ribosomal RNA, 389 nt
Filed under: Syndiniales sp.
Lineage: Eukaryota; Dinophyceae; Syndiniales
Description: partial small subunit ribosomal RNA
Rfam family: Eukaryotic small subunit ribosomal RNA
Source: RNAcentral